RNAcentral lists this ribosomal RNA (484 nucleotides) under uncultured bacterium. RNAcentral's name for it is "partial 16S ribosomal RNA". It matches the Rfam family "Bacterial small subunit ribosomal RNA", at positions 29 to 523 of the family's 1533-position model. The record is from RNAcentral.
AGUGAACGCUGGCGGCGUGCUUAACACAUGCAAGUCGAACGAGAACGGAUUAUAGCUUGCUAUAAUUGUCAGCUAAGUGGCGCACGGGUGAGUAAUGUAUAGGUAAUAUGCCUCUUACUAAGGGAUAACAAAUGGAAACGCUUGCUAAUACCUUAUACUCCUUUUAAACAGAAGUUUAAAAGGGAAAGAUUUAUUGGUAAGAGAUUAGCCUGUAUUGUAUCAGUUAGUUGGUGGGGUAAUGGCUUACCAAUACUAUGACACAUAACUGGUUUGAGAGGAUGACCAGUCACACUGGAAAUGAGACACGGUCCAGACUCCUACGGGAGGCAGCAGUGGGGAAUAUUGCACAAUGGACGAAAGUCUGAUGCAGCAACGCCGCGUGGAGGAUGACACAUUUCGGUGCGUAAACUCCUUUUAUAUGAGAAGAUAAUGACGGUAUUAUAUGAAUAAGCACCGGCUAACUCCGUGCCAGCAGCCGCGGUAA